CAGCAGCCGCGGGAAUACGUAGGGCGCAAGCGUUGUCCGGAAUUAUUGGGCGUAAAGAGCUCGUAGGCGGUCUGUCGCGUCUGGUGUGAAAUCCCGAGGCUCAACCUCGGGCUUGCAUCGGGUACGGGCAGACUAGAGUGCGGUAGGGGAGACUGGAAUUCCUGGUGUAGCGGUGGAAUGCGCAGAUAUCAGGAGGAACACCGAUGGCGAAGGCAGGUCUCUGGGCCGCAACUGACGCUGAGGAGCGAAAGCAUGGGGAGCGAACAGGAUUAGAUACCCCUGUAGUCCCUGUCUCUUAUAC
RNAcentral lists this ribosomal RNA (301 nucleotides) under uncultured bacterium. RNAcentral describes it as "partial 16S ribosomal RNA". It matches the Rfam family "Bacterial small subunit ribosomal RNA", at positions 509 to 807 of the family's 1533-position model. The record is from RNAcentral.